AGUGAACGCUGGCGGUAGGCCUAACACAUGCAAGUCGAACGGCAGCACAGUAAGAGCUUGCUCUUACGGGUGGCGAGUGGCGGACGGGUGAGGAAUACAUCGGAAUCUACUUUUUCGUGGGGGAUAACGUAGGGAAACUUACGCUAAUACCGCAUACGACCUACGGGUGAAAGCAGGGGAUCUUCGGACCUUGCGCGAGUGAAUGAGCCGAUGUCGGAUUAGCUAGUUGGCGGGGUAAAGGCCCACCAAGGCGACGAUCCGUAGCUGGUCUGAGAGGAUGAUCAGCCACACUGGAACUGAGACACGGUCCAGACUCCUACGGGAGGCAGCAGUGGGGAAUAUUGGACAAAGGGCGCAAGCCUGAUCCAGCCAUACCGCGUGGGUGAAGAAGGCCUUCGGGUUGUAAAGCCCUUUUGUUGGGAAAGAAAAGCAGCAGGUUAAUACCCCGCUGUUCUGACGGUACCCAAAGAAUGAGCACCGGCUAACUUCGUG
This 492-nucleotide ribosomal RNA is filed under the name uncultured bacterium. RNAcentral describes it as "partial 16S ribosomal RNA". It matches the Rfam family "Bacterial small subunit ribosomal RNA", at positions 29 to 507 of the family's 1533-position model. The record is from RNAcentral.